GACGAACGCUGGCGGCGUGCUUAACACAUGCAAGUCGAACGGAAAGGCCCCUUUGGGGGUACUCGAGUGGCGAACGGGUGAGUAACACGUGAGUAACCUGCCCUUGACUUCGGGAUAACUUCAGGAAACUGGGGCUAAUACCGGAUAGGAAUCCUUGCUGCAUGGUGGGGGUUGGAAAGCUUCGGCGGUUUUGGAUGGACUCGCGGCUUAUCAGCUUGUUGGUGGGGUAGUGGCUUACCAAGGCUUUGACGGGUAGCCGGCCUGAGAGGGCGACCGGCCACAUUGGGACUGAGAUACGGCCCAGACUCCUACGGGAGGCAGCAGGGGGGAAUAUUGCACAAUGGGCGGAGGCCUGAUGCAGCAACGCCGCGGGCGGGAUGACGGCCUUCGGGUUGUAAACCGCUUUCAGCAGGGGCGAAGCUUGUGGUGACGGUACCUGCAGAAGAAGCACCGGCUAACUACGUG
RNAcentral lists this ribosomal RNA (465 nucleotides) under uncultured bacterium. RNAcentral's name for it is "partial 16S ribosomal RNA". It matches the Rfam family "Bacterial small subunit ribosomal RNA", at positions 28 to 507 of the family's 1533-position model. The record is from RNAcentral.